Molecule: non-coding RNA, 21 nt
Filed under: Caenorhabditis elegans
Lineage: Eukaryota; Metazoa; Nematoda; Chromadorea; Rhabditida; Rhabditidae
Source: RNAcentral
UCGUCUCGAAUAGGUUUCGCA